RNAcentral lists this ribosomal RNA (337 nucleotides) under uncultured archaeon. Its description in RNAcentral is "bacterial SSU rRNA". It matches the Rfam family "Archaeal small subunit ribosomal RNA", at positions 441 to 778 of the family's 1478-position model. The record is from RNAcentral.
GGUGGGUAAGGACGGUGCCAGCCGCCGCGGUAAUACCGGCGCCUCAAGUGGUAGUCGAUUUUAUUGGGCCUAAAACGUCCGUAGCCGGUUUGGUACAUUCGUGGGUAAAUCAACCAGCUUAACUGGUUGAAUUCUGCGAGGACGGCCAGACUUGGGACCGGGAGAGGUGUGGGGUACGCUCAGGGUAGGGGUAAAAUCCUGUCAUCCUGAGCGGACCACCUGUUGCGAAGGCGCCACACUAGAACGGAUCCGACGGUCAGGGACGAAGCCUAGGGGCACGAACCGGAUUAGAUACCCGGGUAGUCCUAGGUGUAAACGCUGUGGACUUGGUGUUGGG